UGCAUAUCAAUAAGCGGAGGAAAAGAAACCAACAGGGAUUGCCCUAGUAAUGGCGAAUGAACAGGCAAAAGCUCAGAUUUGAAACCCUCGGGAUUGUAAUCUGGAGACCUGGAUUUGGCACGCUGACCAAGUCUUCUGGAACGGAGCGCCAUGGAGGGUGACAGCCCCGUAGCAGCAGCCACUGUAAAUCCGGGUCGACGAGUCGAGUUGUUUGGGAAUGCAGCUCUAAGUGGGUGGUAUGCUCCAUCUAAAGCUAAAUAUUGGCGAGAGACCGAUAGCGAACAAGUACUGUGAAGGAAAGAUGAAAAGAACUUUGAAAAGAGAGUGAAAAAGUACGUGAAAUUGUUGAAAUGGAAGGCAAUGAGGUGCGAUUGAACCGGACGUUUGCGGGCAGGACAAAAGCGCAGGCCGCCUCGGCAUUGCCUGCGUGCAUACUGCCUCGCGGACUACCAGUUCUAACAACGCCUUAUUGCACCCGUCUUGAAACACGG
Molecule: ribosomal RNA, 491 nt
Filed under: Entelexis sorbosivorans
Lineage: Eukaryota; Fungi; Ascomycota; Dipodascomycetes; Dipodascales; Trichomonascaceae
Description: eukaryotic LSU rRNA
Rfam family: Eukaryotic large subunit ribosomal RNA
Source: RNAcentral